GGGCAUUGCCCUAGUAACGGCGAGUGAAGCGGCAACAGCUCAAAUUUGAAAUCUGGCUCUCGGGCCCGAGUUGUAAUUUGUAGAGGAUGCUUUUGAUGCGGUGCCUUCCGAGUUCCCUGGAACGGGACGCCAUAGAGGGUGAGAGCCCCGUCUGGUUGGAUGCCAAAUCUCUGUAAAGCUCCUUCGACGAGUCGAGUAGUUUGGGAAUGCUGCUCUAAAUGGGAGGUAUAUGUCUUCUAAAGCUAAAUACCGGCCAGAGACCGAUAGCGCACAAGUAGAGUGAUCGAAAGAUGAAAAGCACUUUGAAAAGAGAGUUAAAAAGUACGUGAAAUUGUUGAAAGGGAAGCGUUUAUGACCAGACUUGGGCUUGGUUAAUCAUCUGGGGUUCUCCCCAGUGCACUUUUCCAGUCCAGGCCAGCAUCAGUUUUCGCCGGGGGAUAAAGGCUUCGGGAAUGUGGCUCUCUCCGGGGAGUGUUAUAGCCCGUUGCGUAAUACCCUGGCGGGGACUGAGGUUCGCGCAUCUGCAAGGAUGCUGGCGUAAUGGUCAUCAACGACCCGUCUUGAACACACGGACC
Molecule: ribosomal RNA, 575 nt
Filed under: Fusarium sp. AL-16 IRH-2012c
Lineage: Eukaryota; Fungi; Ascomycota; Sordariomycetes; Hypocreales; Nectriaceae
Description: eukaryotic LSU rRNA
Rfam family: Eukaryotic large subunit ribosomal RNA
Source: RNAcentral